Molecule: ribosomal RNA, 273 nt
Filed under: Craterellus sinuosus
Lineage: Eukaryota; Fungi; Basidiomycota; Agaricomycetes; Cantharellales; Hydnaceae
Description: partial 28S ribosomal RNA
Rfam family: Eukaryotic large subunit ribosomal RNA
Source: RNAcentral
CAACGAAGAGUGAAGAGGGAAGAGCUCAGUUUUGCCAUCUGGCAGUGAUUCGCUGUCCGAGUUGUAAAUUGAAGAGAAUGUCAUCCACGCUGGACCAUGUCUAAAUUGUAAUGAUCCACAGUCCUUUGAUGGAGUAUCAGAGAGGGUAAUAAUCCCGUCUUUAACAUGGACUACCAGUGUUUCUGUGAUGCACUCUCUCAGAGUCGAGUAGUUUGGGAAUGCUGCUCUAAUGGGAGGUAAACUCCUUCUAAAGCUAAAUAUUGGCGAGAGACC